Molecule: ribosomal RNA, 449 nt
Filed under: uncultured bacterium
Lineage: Bacteria
Description: bacterial SSU rRNA
Rfam family: Bacterial small subunit ribosomal RNA
Source: RNAcentral
GAUGAACGCUGGCGGCGUGCUUAACACAUGCAAGUCGAACGAAGCACUUUAUUUGAUUUCCUUCGGGACUGAUUAUUUUGUGACUGAGUGGCGGACGGGUGAGUAACGCGUGGGUAACCUGCCUUGUACAGGGGGAUAACAGUUGGAAACGGCUGCUAAUACCGCAUAAGCGCACGACAUCGCAUGAUGCAGUGUGAAAAACUCCGGUGGUAUAAGAUGGACCCGCGUUGGAUUAGCUAGUUGGUGAGGUAACGGCCCACCAAGGCGACGAUCCAUAGCCGACCUGAGAGGGUGACCGGCCACAUUGGGACUGAGACACGGCCCAAACUCCUACGGGAGGCAGCAGUGGGGAAUAUUGCACAAUGGGCGAAAGCCUGAUGCAGCGACGCCGCGUGAGCGAAGAAGUAUUUCGGUAUGUAAAGCUCUAUCAGCAGGGAAGAUAAUGACGG